Quercus robur (English oak) is the source of this 1678-nucleotide RNA transcript. It is a transcript of the gene named cell division control protein 48 homolog A-like, with no coding region annotated. Lineage: Eukaryota; Viridiplantae; Streptophyta; Magnoliopsida; Fagales; Fagaceae. The transcript has 5 exons. The record is from RefSeq and is a predicted model, not a curated record.
AAUUAGAAACACAGAACUUAUAUAAAGCUACAGAACAACCCAAAGUUUUAUAGAUAGCUCUCACAGUUUCUCAUUUUCUCUCUAGUAGCUCAAAUCUCUCUCACACAAAACUUAGAAAUUUCAAAGCCAAUUUCAUAGCUCUCAAUCAUGAAAAUUUCGAAGCUUUAGGUCAUGGCAAUUGCAUAACUAUUGGCCUUUCAACGCUAUGGCUCUGUCUCAUCGUCACUCAAAAAAUCGAAGUCGAAGUCUUCCAUCAACUCCUCUACUCUUUGCCUACCUCAUCUAAUCUCCCCCAAUUUUCUAGGGUUCCAAGCUCAAUCGCCACUACGACAGAAAGUUCAUUUUGCCUGAUUCGUCUCGAUUCUUCAACGGAGGCAAAUUCGGAGCGUUUUCAUGUUUUGUUUAUAAAUUGUAAUGUUUGGUUCCUGGGAAAAUUUUAGAGUGGAUAUUUAAAUUCUCCCUCACUUCCUCUCUCUCCCCAAACCACCAAGGUUCCCUCUCUCUCUCCCUCUUCCUGUGUAUAUGCCUAUAUAUAGGUUUUUGUAUCUUUCUUAGAUGGCUUUGUGUUUUGUUUCAAAGUCUACUCUGUCGUUGCGCUUCAUCCCGAUACCAUGGAAAAGCUCCAACUUUUCCAGGGAGACACGAUCUUGAUCAAGAUACUAUCUACAUUGCCCUGGCUGAUGACACUUGUGAUAAGCCAAAGAUAAGGAUGAACAAGGUUAUAAGAAGUAACCUCAGGGUGAGGCUUGGAGAUUUUGUUUCUGUGCACCAGUGUGCAGAUGUCAAAUACGGAAAGCGUGUCCACAUUCUUCCUGUGGAUGAUACUAUUGAAGGGGUCACUAGCAAUCUCUUUGAUGCAUACUUGAAACUUUGGUUGAUGGAUCAUUGGUUGCUAGUCAUUCCUCUGUAUCUGAAGACAUUAUCAUGGUUAAUAAUGGUUGCCUAUGCUGUACUGUGCGAGGAGAUCUUGUUAAAAUGCUUUUGAAGUUAGUUAAGGAAAAACAGGACAAAUUUGAUCAUAUUGUUAUAGAAAUAACAGAAAAUUUUGGCUCCAACAGAAGGGGGAAGGAGUGAUUUGAACUAGUGACUCCACUUAUGAGGCGUGGUCUCUAGCCGAUUAUGCUAUCCCUUGGGUUUGUCUUUUAUGGAUGUUAUUUUAGGGGAAAAAAAGAGAGGUGAAACCUGGGAGAUUACUAACUCCAUCAAAUGCAGGUAUUGAAAAGCUACUCUUUAAUUCCUGGAAUCUUUUUUGUAGGCCUUGCUAAGCCAGCUCCUGUUAUAGAAACAUUUUGUAGUGAUGAACUGGUUUCGCGUUAUUUGAAACUAGAUGGAGUUGUUACUUUGGUUGACUCGAAGCAUGCCUUGCAAAAUUUGAAUGGAGUCAAACCAAGAUUUGUGGUGAAUGAGGCGGUAGAACAAGUUGCCUAUGCCGACCGUAUUAUUUUCAACAAGAUAGAUUUAGUCGGUGAGGCUGAGUUGGAGGUACUGACUAAGAAAGUCAAGGUAAGUUUUUCCGUUGUACAUGAAUGCUCUGUUUAGUUUGUUAAGUAAACACUUUUUAAGUGUACUAUUCAAAACAGGUUUUGUGUAGCAAGUAGUGAUUCAUGUUUCAAAUUUAAAAAUGUAAAGGGCAAUAGACAGAGUAGUUGAGUUAUGUUGAUUUGUACAAUUUGUUUCA